This is a long non-coding RNA of Amphiprion ocellaris (clown anemonefish), 739 nucleotides long. The record is from Ensembl. NCBI's taxonomy places the organism in Eukaryota, Metazoa, Chordata, Actinopteri, Pomacentridae.
AGCAGUGACUUGGUACAGUCCAGCUCCAGGCAAAGGCAUUUAACACAACUCAUUGCUUCAGUCCAAUCUUUUAGUUUGAAGGCCAGCAAUCCCUUGGACCAGCAGAACGACUGGAACAAAACCCAGGCUCCUGUGGCAAAGACUGAGCACUUUGUGCAUUCACUCUGUCAGAGAAAGAGAGAGAGUGAGAGACAGAAAGAAGGAGGAUUUCCUCUGUUUUUACCCUCCCCUCCAUCGCCUUCUCGCCCCUGCUGGGUGUGGAAAUAACUGUCAAUCACGCCUCGUGCACGUCCCCAUUUGCAUCCAGUUCUGUUUAUAGAACGUAAAGAGGGAAAGAGGACGACACGCAAAAGCUGCAUCAUUAGGCUUUUAUGAGGCAUUUCAGUGAUGUCAGAGAAUGCUUUUGAAUAAAUAUAAAGCCCUCUGGUGGAAUCGUGCAGGCAGUUUUAUACUCCAGGUGUUUUACUGAAGACAAAUGAAAACACAAUUCAACCGUCACUGGAUCGUUCCAGAACUGGAGGACAUUUUACAUCAAAUUUCAAAUAAUCCAUGUAGAAAAUCCUGAAACAUGCUGUUGUUGUGUAAAUGUUCUUGUCCUGAGACCAAAUCUAAAAAAACUAAGUGAAAAGAAUGUUUGAAAAUAUUUUUAAAAAUAUCAAGUCUGGAGUUCCCCUUAAAUGCCAUUUUUCUCUCAUCCUCAUGACCAAACUGAAUCUGAAAUAAAACAGUUAAAAUGAAA